GAUGAAGAGCGUAGCGAAAUGCGAUACUUGGUGUGAAUUGCAGAAUCCCGUGAACCAUCGAGUCUUUGAACGCAAGUUGCGCCCGAAGCCAUCAGGUUGAGGGCACGUCUGCCUGGGCGUCACAUAUCGUUGCCCAAUGCCUAUUGCAGUGCAAUAGGAAUUUCUAGGGCGAAUGAUGGCUUCCCGUGAGCGUUGUUGCCUCGCGGUUGGUUGAAAAUCGAGUCCUUGGUAGGGUGUGCCAUGGUAGAUGGUGGUCGAGUUAGAACGAUACCGAUCAUGUGCAUGCUCCCCAAAAUAUGGCCUCUAUGACCCACACGCGUCUUUUGACGCUCAUGACGAGACCUCAGGUCAGGCGGGGCUACCCGCUGAAUUUAAGCAUAUCAAUAAGCGGAGGA
RNAcentral lists this unclassified non-coding RNA (395 nucleotides) under soil metagenome. RNAcentral describes it as "partial contains 5.8S ribosomal RNA, internal transcribed spacer 2, and large subunit ribosomal RNA". The stretch from base 1 to 122 matches the Rfam family "5.8S ribosomal RNA", at positions 35 to 154 of the family's 154-position model. The record is from RNAcentral.